UACAGAGGUCCCGAGCGUUGUUCGGAUUCAUUGGGCGUAAAGGGUGCGUAGGUGGCGCCGUAAGUGGGGUGUGAAAUCCCGGGGCUUAACCCCGGGACUGCAUUCCAUACUGCGGUGCUUGAGGACUGGAGAGGAGACUGGAAUUUACGGUGUAGCAGUGAAAUGCGUAGAGAUCGUAAGGAAGACCAGUGGCGAAGGCGGGUCUCUGGACAGUUCCUGACGCUGAGGCACGAAGGCCAGGGGAGCAAACGGG
RNAcentral lists this ribosomal RNA (253 nucleotides) under uncultured bacterium. RNAcentral describes it as "partial 16S ribosomal RNA". It matches the Rfam family "Bacterial small subunit ribosomal RNA", at positions 524 to 776 of the family's 1533-position model. The record is from RNAcentral.